This 847-nucleotide ribosomal RNA is filed under the name uncultured bacterium. RNAcentral describes it as "bacterial SSU rRNA". It matches the Rfam family "Bacterial small subunit ribosomal RNA", at positions 60 to 906 of the family's 1533-position model. The record is from RNAcentral.
AGUCGAACGAGAAAGUGGGGGCAACCCUGCGAGUACAGUGGCAGACGGGUGAGUAACACGUGAACAACCUACCCUCGAGUGGGGAAUAACACCGCGAAAGCGGUGCUAAUACCGCAUAAAAUCUUUUUAUCGCAUGAUGGAGAGAUCAAAAGCGCAAGUUGCUUGAGGAGGGGUUCGCGGCUGAUUAGCUAGUUGGUGAGGUAACGGCCCACCAAGGCAACGAUCAGUAGCCGGCCUGAGAGGGCGGACGGCCACACUGGAACUGAGACACGGUCCAGACUCCUACGGGAGGCAGCAGUGGGGAAUUUUGCGCAAUGGGCGAAAGCCUGACGCAGCAACGCCGCGUGGAGGAUGAAGGCCUUCGGGUCGUAAACUCCUGUCGAUGGGGACGAAAACCUCGCAAGGGGUCUGACUGUACCCGUUGAGGAAGCCACGGCUAACUCCGUGCCAGCAGCCGCGGUAAUACGGAGGUGGCAAGCGUUGUUCGGAAUUACUGGGCGUAAAGGGCGCGUAGGCGGCGGAGCAAGUCAGAUGUGAAAGCCCCGGGCUUAACUCGGGAAUUGCAUCUGAAACUGCUGUGCUUGAGUCCUGGAGGGGGUAGUGGAAUUCCCAGUGUAGCGGUGAAAUGCGUAGAUAUUGGGAGGAACACCUGCGGCGAAGGCGGCUACCUGGACAGUGACUGACGCUGAGGCGCGAAAGCUAGGGGAGCGAACGGGAUUAGAUACCCCGGUAGUCCUAGCCGUAAACGAUGGGCAUUUGGUGUUGGGGGUAUUGAGUCCCUCGGUGCCGGAGCUAACGCGAUAAGUGCCCCGCCUGGGGAGUACGGUCGCAAGACUGAAACUCAAAG